Molecule: non-coding RNA, 192 nt
Filed under: Thermoanaerobacterales bacterium
Lineage: Bacteria; Bacillati; Bacillota; Clostridia; Thermoanaerobacterales
Also listed under: 1 other name
Description: 6S RNA
Rfam family: 6S / SsrS RNA
About the family: E. coli 6S RNA was the first non coding RNA to be sequenced, but its function was unknown until recently. It consists of 184 nucleotides that fold into an extended hairpin structure with a large single-stranded internal bulge.
Source: RNAcentral
AAUUGUCUGGAAUAUUUGCCAAUCUCCUAUUUUGAACCUACAAAAUAAAUACGGGAGUUCACACAUGCUGUGUAGAUAUGUACUUUCAGGAGGGCCAUAUGCCCAGUAAAGCGAUAGAAGCACGGUUGAGAACACCCACCUAUCGAGAGGUAGGUAGUCAAAAUUUGGAGAUAGCGGUAUUUUGGAUUUUAA